UCAUUGCUGACGAGUCCCAAACAGGACGAAACAGCUGCCGUCCAGUGC
RNAcentral lists this non-coding RNA (48 nucleotides) under Echinostoma caproni. Lineage: Eukaryota; Metazoa; Platyhelminthes; Trematoda; Plagiorchiida; Echinostomatidae. The record is from RNAcentral.